AAAAUUAGAGUGUUCAAAGCAGGCAGAUAUUUUUUUUUACUGCCACCGAAUACAUUAGCAUGGGAAAAUGGAAUAGGACCCUGUCCUUCAUGUUUCGCGUUGGUUGUGUGUUAAGUGCGUGCGCAAGCGCGUGGCUGACACAUGGUGUUCGUCUAAAGGAGGACCAGGGUAAUGAUUAAUAGGGAUAGUUGGGGGCAUUAAUAUUUAAUUGUCAGAGGUGAAAUUCUUGGAUUUAUGAAAGAUUAACUUCUGCGAAAGCAUCUGCCAAGGAUGUUUUCAUUAAUCAAGAACGAAAGUUAGGGGAUCGAA
This 309-nucleotide ribosomal RNA is filed under the name Acanthamoeba sp. PL30/40. RNAcentral describes it as "SSU rRNA". It matches the Rfam family "Eukaryotic small subunit ribosomal RNA", at positions 762 to 1002 of the family's 1831-position model. Lineage: Eukaryota; Discosea; Longamoebia; Acanthamoebidae. The record is from RNAcentral.